UUGCAGUCGAACGAUGAACCGCUUCGGUGGUGGAUUAGUGGCGAACGGGUGAGUAACACGKGGGCAAUCUGCCCUUCACUCUGGGACAAGCCCUGGAAACGGGGUCUAAUACCGGAUAACACUCUGUCCCGCAUGGGACGGGGUUGAAAGCUCCGGCGGUGAAGGAUGAGCCCGCGGCCUAUCAGCUUGUUGGUGGGGUAAUGGCCUACCAAGGCGACGACGGGUAGCCGGCCUGAGAGGGCGACCGGCCACACUGGGACUGAGACACGGCCCAGACUCCUACGGGAGGCAGCAGWGGGGAAUAUUGCACAAUGGGCGAAAGCCUGAUGCAGCGACGCCGCGUGAGGGAUGACGGCCUUCGGGUUGUAAACCUCUUUCAGCAGGGAAGAAGCGAAAGUGACGGKACCUGCAGAAGAAGCGCCGGCUAACUACGUGCCAGCAGCCGCGGKAAUACGUAGGGCGCAAGCGUUGUCCGGAAUUAUUG
RNAcentral lists this ribosomal RNA (484 nucleotides) under Streptomyces caviscabies. RNAcentral's name for it is "bacterial SSU rRNA". Lineage: Bacteria; Bacillati; Actinomycetota; Actinomycetes; Kitasatosporales; Streptomycetaceae. The record is from RNAcentral.